UAGAGUUUGAUCCUGGCUCAGGAUGAACGCUAGCGGCAGGCUUAACACAUGCAAGUCGAGGGGCAUCGGGAGGGAAGCUUGCUUUCCUUGCCGGCGACCGGCGCACGGGUGAGUAACACGUAUGCAACCUGCCCUCUUCAGGGGGACAACCUUCCGAAAGGGAGGCUAAUCCCGCGUAUAUCGGUUUCGGGCAUCCGAGAUCGAGGAAAGAUUCAUCGGAAGAGGAUGGGCAUGCGGCGCAUUAGCUUGACGGCGGGGUAACGGCCCACCGUGGCGACGAUGCGUAGGGGUUCUGAGAGGAAGGUCCCCCACACUGGUACUGAGACACGGACCAGACUCCUACGGGAGGCAGCAGUGAGGAAUAUUGGUCAAUGGGAGAGAUCCUGAACCAGCCAAGCCGCGUGAGGGAAGACGGCCCUAUGGGUUGUAAACCUCUUUUGUCGGAGAACAAAACCCGGGACGUGUCCCGGACUGCGUGUAUCCGAAGAAAAAGCAUCGGCUAACUCCGUGCCAGCAGCCGCGGUAAUACGGAGGAUGCGAGCGUUAUCCGGAUUUAUUGGGUUUAAAGGGUGCGUAGGCGGCCCGUUAAGUCAGCGGUAAAAUUGCGGGGCUCAACCCCGUCGAGCCGUUGAAACUGGCAGACUUGAGUUGGCGAGAAGUACGCGGAAUGCGCGGUGUAGCGGUGAAAUGCAUAGAUAUCGCGCAGAACUCCGAUUGCGAAGGCAGCGUACCGGCGCCACACUGACGCUGAGGCACGAAAGCGUGGGGAUCGAACAGGAUUAGAUACCCU
This 790-nucleotide ribosomal RNA is filed under the name uncultured bacterium. RNAcentral describes it as "bacterial SSU rRNA". It matches the Rfam family "Bacterial small subunit ribosomal RNA", at positions 1 to 788 of the family's 1533-position model. The record is from RNAcentral.